AACGCGAAGAACCUUACCAAGGUUUGACAUGCAGGGAAAAGCCGUAGAGAUAUGGUGUCCGUAAGGGUCCUGCACAGGUGGUGCAUGGCUGUCGUCAGCUCGUGUCGUGAGAUGUUGGGUUAAGUCCCGCAACGAGCGCAACCCUCGUCCUAUGUUGCCAGCGGGUAAUGCCGGGGACUCAUAGGAGACUGCCGGGGUCAACUCGGAGGAAGGUGGGGAUGACGUCAAGUCCUCAUGCCCCUUAUGUCUUGGGCUGCAAACAUGCUACAAUGGCCAGUACAAAGGGCUGCGAGACCGUGAGGUGGAGCGAAUCCCAAAAAGCUGGUCUCAGUUCGGAUUGGGGUCUGCAACUCGACCCCAUGAAGUCGGAGUCGCUAGUAAUCGCAGAUCAGCAACGCUGCGGUGAAUACGUUCCCGGGCCUUGUA
This 426-nucleotide ribosomal RNA is filed under the name uncultured Actinomycetes bacterium. RNAcentral's name for it is "bacterial SSU rRNA". It matches the Rfam family "Bacterial small subunit ribosomal RNA", at positions 958 to 1385 of the family's 1533-position model. The record is from RNAcentral. Lineage: Bacteria; Bacillati; Actinomycetota; Actinomycetes.